AGCAGUCGCCGCGGGAAUACGUAGGUGGCAAGCGUUGUCCGGAAUUAUUGGGCGUAAAGGGCUCGCAGGCGGUUUCUUAAGUCUGAUGUGAAAGCCCCCGGCUCAACCGGGGAGGGUCAUUGGAAACUGGGAAACUUGAGUGCAGAAGAGGAGAGUGGAAUUCCACGUGUAGCGGUGAAAUGCGUAGAGAUGUGGAGGAACACCAGUGGCGAAGGCGACUCUCUGGUCUGUAACUGACGCUGAGGAGCGAAAGCGUGGGGAGCGAACAGGAUUAGAUACCCCCGUAGUCCCUGUCUCUUAUAA
Molecule: ribosomal RNA, 303 nt
Filed under: uncultured bacterium
Lineage: Bacteria
Description: partial 16S ribosomal RNA
Rfam family: Bacterial small subunit ribosomal RNA
Source: RNAcentral